AGAGUUUGAUCCUGGCUCAGAUUGAACGCUGGCGGCAUGCCUUACACAUGCAAGUCGAACGGCAGCACGGGGGCAACCCUGGUGGCGAGUGGCGAACGGGUGAGUAAUACAUCGGAACGUGUCCUGUAGUGGGGGAUAGCCCGGCGAAAGCCGGAUUAAUACCGCAUACGCUCUACGGAGGAAAGGGGGGGAUCUUAGGACCUCUCGCUACAGGGGCGGCCGAUGGCAGAUUAGCUAGUUGGUGGGGUAAAGGCCUACCAAGGCGACGAUCUGUAGCUGGUCUGAGAGGACGACCAGCCACACUGGGACUGAGACACGGCCCAGACUCCUACGGGAGGCAGCAGUGGGGAAUUUUGGACAAUGGGGGCAACCCUGAUCCAGCAAUGCCGCGUGUGUGAAGAAGGCCUUCGGGUUGUAAAGCACUUUUGUCCGGAAAGAAAAC
RNAcentral lists this ribosomal RNA (442 nucleotides) under uncultured bacterium. RNAcentral describes it as "bacterial SSU rRNA". It matches the Rfam family "Bacterial small subunit ribosomal RNA", at positions 8 to 452 of the family's 1533-position model. The record is from RNAcentral.